GACGAACGCUGGCGGCGUGCCUAACACAUGCAAGUCGAACGAAGCAUUUGAGUGGAUCCCUUCGGGGUGAAGCUUUUAUGACUUAGUGGCGGACGGGUGAGUAACGCGUGAGUAACCUGCCUUUCAGAGGGGGAUAACAGUUGGAAACGACUGCUAAUACCGCAUAACGUAUUUUUAUCGCAUGAUAGAAAUACCAAAGCUGAGGCGCUGAAAGAUGGACUCGCGUCUGAUUAGAUAGUUGGUGGGGUAACGGCCUACCAAGUCGACGAUCAGUAGCCGGACUGAGGGGUUGAUCGGCCACAUUGGGACUGAGACACGGCCCAGACUCCUACGGGAGGCAGCAGUGGGGAAUAUUGCACAAUGGGCGAAAGCCUGAUGCAGCAACGCCGCGUGAGGGAAGACGGUUUUCGGAUUGUAAAGCACUUUCGACGGGGACGAUGAUGACGGUACCUGUAGAAGAAGCUCCGGCUAACUUCGUGCCAGCAGCCGCGGU
RNAcentral lists this ribosomal RNA (493 nucleotides) under uncultured bacterium. Its description in RNAcentral is "bacterial SSU rRNA". It matches the Rfam family "Bacterial small subunit ribosomal RNA", at positions 28 to 521 of the family's 1533-position model. The record is from RNAcentral.